UGGGGAAUAUUGGACAAUGGGCGAAAGCCUGAUCCAGCCAUGCCGCGUGUGUGAAGAAGGUCUUCGGAUUGUAAAGCACUUUAAGUUGGGAGGAAGGGCAUUAACGUAAUACGUUAGUGUUUUGACGUUACCGACAGAAUAAGCACCGGCUAACUCUGUGCCAGCAGCCGCGGUCAUACAGAGGGUGCAAGCGUUAAUCGGAAUUACUGGGCGUAAAGCGCGCGUAGGUGGUUUGUUAAGUUGGAUGUGAAAUCCCCGGGCUCAACCUGGGAACUGCAUUCAAAACUGACUGACUAGAGUAUGGUAGAGGGUGGUGGAAUUUCCUGUGUAGCGGUGAAAUGCGUAGAUAUAGGAAGGAACACCAGUGGCGAAGGCGACCACCUGGACUAAUACUGACACUGAGGUGCGAAAGCGUGGGGAGCAAACA
This 427-nucleotide ribosomal RNA is filed under the name uncultured bacterium. RNAcentral's name for it is "partial 16S ribosomal RNA". It matches the Rfam family "Bacterial small subunit ribosomal RNA", at positions 355 to 774 of the family's 1533-position model. The record is from RNAcentral.